UACAGAGGUCUCGAGCGUUGUUCGGAUUCAUUGGGCGUAACGGGUGCGUAGUCGGCGCGGUAAGUCGGGUGUGAAAUUUCGGAGCUUAACUCCGAAACUGCAUUCGAUACUGCGGUGCUUGAGGACUGGAGAGGAGACUGGAAUUCAUGGUGUAGCAGUGAAAUGCGUAGAGAUCAUGAGGAAGACCAGUGGCGAAGGCGGGUCUCUGGACAGUGCAUGACACUGAGGCACGAAGGCCAGGGGAGCAAACGGG
RNAcentral lists this ribosomal RNA (253 nucleotides) under uncultured bacterium. RNAcentral's name for it is "partial 16S ribosomal RNA". It matches the Rfam family "Bacterial small subunit ribosomal RNA", at positions 524 to 776 of the family's 1533-position model. The record is from RNAcentral.